UGUGCUAAUACCGCAUAUCUCUCAGGAGGAAAGCAGGGGAUCGAAAGACCUUGCGCUAAAGGAGCGGCUGAUGUCUGAUUAGCUAGUUGGUGGGGUAAAGGCUUACCAAGGCAACGAUCAGUAGCUGGUCUGAGAGGACGACCAGCCACACUGGGACUGAGACACGGCCCAGACUCCUACGGGAGGCAGCUAGUGGGGAAUUUUGGACAAUGGGCGAAAGCCUGAUCCAGCCAUGCCGCGUGAGUGAAGAAGGCCUUCGGGUUGUAAAGCUCUUUUAGUCGGAAAGAAAGAGU
Molecule: ribosomal RNA, 293 nt
Filed under: uncultured Pseudomonadota bacterium
Lineage: Bacteria; Pseudomonadati; Pseudomonadota
Description: uncultured proteobacterium partial 16S ribosomal RNA
Rfam family: Bacterial small subunit ribosomal RNA
Source: RNAcentral